This 23-nucleotide non-coding RNA is filed under the name Arabidopsis thaliana (thale cress). The record is from RNAcentral. Lineage: Eukaryota; Viridiplantae; Streptophyta; Magnoliopsida; Brassicales; Brassicaceae.
CAUACUCUCCUGUGGUGGAUGCA